RNAcentral lists this ribosomal RNA (497 nucleotides) under uncultured bacterium. RNAcentral's name for it is "partial 16S ribosomal RNA". It matches the Rfam family "Bacterial small subunit ribosomal RNA", at positions 28 to 507 of the family's 1533-position model. The record is from RNAcentral.
GAUGAACGCUGGCGGCGUGCCUAAUACAUGCAAGUCGAGCGAACAGACGAGGAGCUUGCUCCUCUGACGUUAGCGGCGGACGGGUGAGUAACACGUGGAUAACCUACCUAUAAGACUGGGAUAACUUCGGGAAACCGGAGCUAAUACCGGAUAAUAUAUUGAACCGCAUGGUUCAAUAGUGAAAGACGGUUUUGCUGUCACUUAUAGAUGGAUCCGCGCCGCAUUAGCUAGUUGGUAAGGUAACGGCUUACCAAGGCGACGAUGCGUAGCCGACCUGAGAGGGUGAUCGGCCACACUGGAACUGAGACACGGUCCAGACUCCUACGGGAGGCAGCAGUAGGGAAUCUUCCGCAAUGGGCGAAUGCCUGACGGUGCAACGCCGCGUGAGUGAUGAAGGUCUUCUGAUCGUAAAACUCUGUUAUUAGGGAAGAACAAAUGUGUAAGUAACUAUGCACGUCUUGACGGUACCUAAUCAGAAAGCCACGGCUAACUACGUG